RNAcentral lists this ribosomal RNA (460 nucleotides) under uncultured bacterium. Its description in RNAcentral is "SSU rRNA". It matches the Rfam family "Bacterial small subunit ribosomal RNA", at positions 26 to 518 of the family's 1533-position model. The record is from RNAcentral.
AGAAUCAACGCUGGCGGCGUGCCUAACACAUGCAAGUCGAACGAGAAAGUGGAGCAAUCCAUUAGUAAAGUGGCGCACGGGUGAGUAACACGUGACUAACCUACCCUUGAGUGGGGGAUAACCUAGGGAAACCUGGGCUAAUACCGCAUAAUACCUACGGGUCAAAGGAGCAAUUCGCUUUAGGAGGGGGUCGCGGCCGAUUAGUUAGUUGGCGGGGUAAUGGCCCACCAAGACGAUGAUCGGUAUCCGGCCUGAGAGGGCGCACGGACACACUGGAACUGAAACACGGUCCAGACUCCUACGGGAGGCAGCAGUGGGGAAUUUUGCGCAAUGGGGGAAACCCUGACGCAGCAACGCCGCGUGGAGGAUGAAGCCCCUUGGGGCGUAAACUCCUUUCGAUCGGGACGAUAAUGACGGUACCGAGAGAAGAACGCCCGGCUAACUUCGUGCCAGCAGCCGC